Molecule: ribosomal RNA, 40 nt
Filed under: Pichia fermentans
Lineage: Eukaryota; Fungi; Ascomycota; Pichiomycetes; Pichiales; Pichiaceae
Description: partial 25S ribosomal RNA
Source: RNAcentral
CAGAUCAGGUAGGAAUACCCGCUGAACUUAAGCAUAUCAU